UUGCAGCUAUUGUUGAUAACUUGAUAUGUAGAACGGUCACAUGGGAAGAUGAUAAAAUAAGUUGUUCCUUUAUGAUGGGGCGCGGUUGGUGACAAUUUUGGAGGAAUAUAAACUUUCGAGAAUACGAAAAGAAGAGGAAAAGAGGCGAUUAAGGG
Helianthus annuus (common sunflower) is the source of this 155-nucleotide long non-coding RNA. RefSeq lists it as uncharacterized. The transcript is spliced from 2 exons. The record is from RefSeq and is a predicted model, not a curated record. Lineage: Eukaryota; Viridiplantae; Streptophyta; Magnoliopsida; Asterales; Asteraceae.